GAGUUUGAUCAUGGCUCAGAUUGAACGCUGGCGGCAUGCCUUACACAUGCAAGUCGAACGGCAGCAUGAUCUAGCUUGCUAGAUUGAUGGCGAGUGGCGAACGGGUGAGUAAUACAUCGGAACGUGCCCUGUAGUGGGGAUAACUAGUCGAAAGAUUAGCUAAUACCGCAUACGACCUGAGGGUGAAAGUGGGGGACCGCAAGGCCUCAUGCUAUAGGAGCGGCCGAUGUCUGAUUAGCUAGUUGGUGGGGUAAAGGCCCACCAAGGCGACGAUCAGUAGCUGGUCUGAGAGGACGAUCAGCCACACUGGGACUGAGACACGGCCCAGACUCCUACGGGAGGCAGCAGU
Molecule: ribosomal RNA, 349 nt
Filed under: uncultured microorganism
Description: bacterial SSU rRNA
Rfam family: Bacterial small subunit ribosomal RNA
Source: RNAcentral